UACGGAGGGGGCGAGCGUUAUUCGGAAUUAUUGGGCGUAAAGGGCGCGUAGGCGGCUGGAUAAGUCAAAGGUGAAAUCCCUCGGCUCAACUGAGGAACUGCCUUUGAAACUGUUCGGCUUGAGGCCGGGAGGGGGUAGCGGAAUUCCCAGUGUAGCGGUGAAAUGCGUAGAUAUUGGGAGGAACACCAGUGGCGAAGGCGGCUACCUGGACCGGUUCUGACGCUGAGGCGCGAAAGCGUGGGUAGCAAACAGG
RNAcentral lists this ribosomal RNA (253 nucleotides) under uncultured bacterium. RNAcentral's name for it is "partial 16S ribosomal RNA". It matches the Rfam family "Bacterial small subunit ribosomal RNA", at positions 524 to 776 of the family's 1533-position model. The record is from RNAcentral.